This 187-nucleotide non-coding RNA is filed under the name Clostridium kluyveri. The record is from RNAcentral. RNAcentral also lists the same sequence under 1 other name. Lineage: Bacteria; Bacillati; Bacillota; Clostridia; Eubacteriales; Clostridiaceae.
AUUUAAUAAUAAAAUAUAGGUUUAAUCAAUUAAUUGAUUAAUUAAAAGGGAAUCAGGUGAAAUUCCUGGACUAUCCCGUAGCUGUAUUAGAUGAAUUUAAAUACAUUAGAAACCACUUGGAAACAGGGAAGGGGUAUUUAAGUGAUGAUUCUUGAGUCAGAAGACCUGCCUAUAUUUUUGACUAUGG